GGAAGCGUAGCUCAGAGGAAGAGCGUCUGCCUUACAAGCAGAAGGCCACAGGUUCGACCCCUGUCGCUUCCACCA
This 75-nucleotide transfer RNA is filed under the name Mesotoga infera. RNAcentral's name for it is "tRNA-Val". It matches the Rfam family "tRNA". From Rfam's summary of the family: Transfer RNA (tRNA) molecules are approximately 80 nucleotides in length. Their secondary structure includes four short double-helical elements and three loops (D, anti-codon, and T loops). Further hydrogen bonds mediate the characteristic L-shaped molecular structure. tRNAs have two regions of fundamental functional importance: the anti-codon, which is responsible for specific mRNA codon recognition, and the 3' end, to which the tRNAs corresponding amino acid is attached (by aminoacyl-tRNA synthetases). tRNAs cope with the degeneracy of the genetic code in two manners: having more than one tRNA (with a specific anti-codon) for a particular amino acid; and 'wobble' base-pairing, i.e. permitting non-standard base-pairing at the 3rd anti-codon position. The record is from RNAcentral. Lineage: Bacteria; Thermotogati; Thermotogota; Thermotogae; Kosmotogales; Kosmotogaceae.